This is a non-coding RNA of Caenorhabditis elegans, 150 nucleotides long. NCBI's taxonomy places the organism in Eukaryota, Metazoa, Nematoda, Chromadorea, Rhabditida, Rhabditidae. The record is from Ensembl.
CAAAAAUCUGUGCAUUUUUGCGUGAGGCACUCGGUGUUUGCGUACUCUUGGAGCUACAGUAACCCGAAAAAGUUGAAAUUCACGCUAGAAGGACGGGCAAACAAUGUUUAGGAAUGAAAAAAUGCGCUGAAUUCGAAUUUCACACUUAAU